This 855-nucleotide ribosomal RNA is filed under the name uncultured bacterium. RNAcentral describes it as "bacterial SSU rRNA". It matches the Rfam family "Bacterial small subunit ribosomal RNA", at positions 51 to 919 of the family's 1533-position model. The record is from RNAcentral.
ACACAUGCAAGUCGAACGAGAGAUGAGGAGCUUGCUCUUCAAAUCGAGUGGCGAACGGGUGAGUAACGCGUGAGGAACCUGCCUCAAAGAGGGGGACAACAGUUGGAAACGACUGCUAAUACCGCAUAAGCCCACGGCUCGGCAUCGAGCAGAGGGAAAAGGAGCAAUCCGCUUUGAGAUGGCCUCGCGUCCGAUUAGCUAGUUGGUGAGGUAACGGCCCACCAAGGCGACGAUCGGUAGCCGGACUGAGAGGUUGAACGGCCACAUUGGGACUGAGACACGGCCCAGACUCCUACGGGAGGCAGCAGUGGGGAAUAUUGCACAAUGGGGGAAACCCUGAUGCAGCGACGCCGCGUGGAGGAAGAAGGUCUUCGGAUUGUAAACUCCUGUUGUUGAGGAAGAUAAUGACGGUACUCAACAAGGAAGUGACGGCUAACUACGUGCCAGCAGCCGCGGUAAAACGUAGGUCACAAGCGUUGUCCGGAAUUACUGGGUGUAAAGGGAGCGCAGGCGGGAAGACAAGUUGGAAGUGAAAUCUAUGGGCUCAACCCAUAAACUGCUUUCAAAACUGUUUUUCUUGAGUAGUGCAGAGGUAGGCGGAAUUCCCGGUGUAGCGGUGGAAUGCGUAGAUAUCGGGAGGAACACCAGUGGCGAAGGCGGCCUACUGGGCACCAACUGACGCUGAGGCUCGAAAGUGUGGGUAGCAAACAGGAUUAGAUACCCUGGUAGUCCACACCGUAAACGAUGAUUACUAGGUGUUGGAGGAUUGACCCCUUCAGUGCCGCAGUUAACACAAUAAGUAAUCCACCUGGGGAGUACGACCGCAAGGUUGAAACUCAAAGGAAUUGACGGGGG